This is a non-coding RNA of Ochotona princeps (American pika), 166 nucleotides long. The record is from Rfam. NCBI's taxonomy places the organism in Eukaryota, Metazoa, Chordata, Mammalia, Lagomorpha, Ochotonidae.
GGUUAGUACCCCUGAAAGGCAGGUGAAAGUCUGCACCUCAAUUAGUGUCAUUGUCUUAAUAGGCGCAGCUCAGCCCUUUGGAGUCAGUCAUCCCAGAACGUGUAGCUUUUGGGGGGUUUUCUCAGGGUGCCUGUCACAAAAUAUUGUCCUCUUUGCUUUAGACACA